GGAUUUUCCACGGUGGAAGGGAGAAUAAUGAGACGAAGGAUGCAGAAGAGAGCGGGAGUAUUACAUCAUCAAUAAUACCUCCAGGCUGAAAAUUAAUGGGCCAUGUUUAAGAGCACUGUUAUUUGAGAGAAAGAGUCCUGUGCUCAUACUGAUGUCCAUUUAUGCUCAAGAUCAUGGAGCUGGAAAGUACCUAAGCCAGGAGGAUUUAGAUUCAGAUUCUUAAAUUGAUUGGCUCAUGAAAAUAACAGAGUAGCUUAAGUUAAGAAUUCAUUUAAGAGCUUCCCUGAUGGUGCAGUGGUUAAGAAUCCGCCUGCCAAUGCAGGGGACACGGGUUCGAGUCCUGGUGCGGGAAGAUCCCACAUGCCGUGGAGCAACUAAGCCCAUGCACCACAACCACCAAGCCUGCGCUCUGGAGCCCGCGAGCCACAACUACUGAGCCCACAUGCCACAACUACUGAAGCCCGCGUGCCUAGAGCCCGUGCUCCACAACAAGAGAGGCCACUGCAAUGAGAAGCCCGUGCACCGCCAACGAAGAGUAGCGCCCGCUCGCCACAACUAGAGAAAGCCUGCGUGCAGCAACGAAGACCCAACGCAGCCAAAAAUAAAUAAAAAUAAAUUUUAAAAAGUUCAUUUAAAAAGGAGAAAUAAUUAUAAAAAUAUGAACCAAAUUAUAGUCCUUUGUACUCAAAAGCAUAAAAGUUAUGUUGACAAGUAACACAGUAAACAAAGGGAUACAUUUGUUACUCUUAAAUAUAACAUGAGAAAUAUAGUUUCAAUAAAAAUUCUUUCUCAUUUUUAAUGUAUUUUACUUGAAUUUUAUUUUUUAAUAGUUUUGUUUGGGCUUAAUUUAUUAUCUUUAAUUUCAUAGUUGUAUAAAAUGUAUACUUUGUUUUCUUCUGUACAAUAUUUAAGAAACUUUAUAUUGAAUAUAAUUAAAGUCAACUA
Long non-coding RNA from Orcinus orca (killer whale), 945 nucleotides. RefSeq lists it as uncharacterized. The transcript is spliced from 4 exons. The record is from RefSeq and is a predicted model, not a curated record. Lineage: Eukaryota; Metazoa; Chordata; Mammalia; Artiodactyla; Delphinidae.